CCUACGUGCGGCAGCAGUGGGGAAUAUUGGGCAAUGGGCGCAAGCCUGACCCAGCAACGCCGCGUGAAGGAAGACGGCUUUCGGGUUGUCAACUUCUUUUGUCAGGGACGAAGCAAGUGACGGUACCUGACGUAUACGCCAAGGCUAACUACGUGCCAGCAGCCGCGGUAAUACGUAGGUGGCAAGCGUUAUCCGGAUUUACUGGGUGUAAAGGGCGUGUAGGCGGGGAAGCAAGUCAGAUGUGAAAACCACGGGCUCAACCUGUGGCAUGGAUUUGAAACUGUUUUUCUUGAGUGCUGGAGAGGCAAGCGGAAUUCCGGGUGUAGCGGUGAAAUGCGUAGAUAUACGGAGGAACACCAGUGGCGAAGGCGGAUUGCUGGACAGUAACUGACGCUGAGGCGCGAAAGCGUGGGGAGCAAACAGGAUUAGAUACCCUAGUAGUC
RNAcentral lists this ribosomal RNA (443 nucleotides) under uncultured bacterium. Its description in RNAcentral is "partial 16S ribosomal RNA". It matches the Rfam family "Bacterial small subunit ribosomal RNA", at positions 338 to 795 of the family's 1533-position model. The record is from RNAcentral.